This 1952-nucleotide unclassified non-coding RNA is filed under the name Hevea brasiliensis (rubber tree). Lineage: Eukaryota; Viridiplantae; Streptophyta; Magnoliopsida; Malpighiales; Euphorbiaceae. The record is from RNAcentral.
GGCCAGUGGUGCUUCAUAUGGUACAAAACCCAGCUGGUUCUUCUCUACGUCAUCAUCUAAUUGAUCUCUUUCUCCUCAUUCGUCCUAAUGGAAAAUGGGAUUUUCCUUCUCAUUGUCCCUCUUUUCACUGCUAUAUUAACCUUAAUCUUGACCUUCACUUCCCAGAUAAUCAAUGGCAGAACGAACAGAAAGCGUGCUGUUGGCUUCUUCCAUCCCUUCACAAACGACGGUGGCGGUGGAGAGAGAGUCCUCUGGUGCGCUGUUAAAGCAAUCCAAGAAAAAAGCCCUGAUCUUGAUUGUGUGAUUUACACCGGGGAUCACGAUGCCUCCCCUCACUCGCUGACACUCGCGCCACCGAUCGCUUCGGUGUCAACUUGGUUUAUCCACCGAUGGUACCCGCCUACGCUUAAUGGGUUUGUUUUGUUCGAUUUAUAGAAUCAAUAUUUGGGAAUUUUGAAUGAUGUUCUUUUUUGCCUUUUGGGGUUUUCGGUUGUUUGAUUCUGUGUGAAUGCUUGCUUGCUUGUUUGCUUUAGGCGUUGCAUCUGUAAAAAAGGAAAUGGGUAGAAGAAACUAGUUAUCCUCGCUUCACCAUGAUUGGUCAGAGCUUGGGUUCGAUUUAUCUUUGCUGGGAAGCUUUAUGCAAGUUUACUCCUUCGUAUUAUUUUGAUACUAGUGGCUAUGCUUUCACUUGUCCACUUGCUCGGAUUUUUGGUUGCAAAGUUGUUUGUUACACGCAUUAUCCUACUAUCAGUUUAGAUAUGAUUUCUCGUGUUCGCAAUCGGAAUUCCACGUACAACAAUGAUGCUUCAAUUGCCAGGAGUGGUUGGCUAUCACGGUGCAAAAUCAUCUAUUAUACAUUCUUUAGUUGGAUGUAUGGGUUUGCGGGCUCUUGUGCACAUCUUGCAAUGGUGAACUCCUCAUGGACACAAGCUCAUAUUGAAAAGCUUUGGAGAAUUCCAAAGCGUAUCAACCGAGUCUAUCCUCCUUGUGAUACAUCAGGGCUUCAGGUUUUUAAUAUAGUGUUUGUUUCUUCAAUCUUUAUGGUAGUUAUAUACACUAUCACGAGUGUUAUCUGUCUCUCACACACACAUAUGAAGUGGUGCUCUGCACCCUUGUGAUUCCAAUCCUGACAUUCUUACUAUUGGAUCAAGCAGUGGCCUUUUGUUUUUCUAUUAUAUGUCCAAAAUAAACUUUUGUCCUUGAAAUACUGUGUUGAGCAUUCUUUUGGCUGGGUUGUCUUGAAUUCUUUUGGAAGCUCAUUUCAUGACCCAUGAGAAGUCUUGGAAAACAAUAAAUUUAUAAAUAUAUAUAAUCAAAUGGUUGUUUUCUAGUUUGAAACAUUACUUUCAACAUGCUGUGUUCCUCCUUGUAGAAAACAUUUUUUUUUUGCUUGUUUGCUUGGUGCAUUGUGAAUUAUUUUUCCUGUCAUUGACUUAUUAUUAAUGUUAACAUGUAAGUUGGUUCGAUGUUUUGAAUCCAUCUUGAGAUGCUAUAUGCUCCAUUUUACUUGAAAAAUUUUUGCACAUUUGAGUCUAACAAAUUGACGUCAAAACAGGCUCUUCCUUUGGAAAGGUCAGCAUCAACUCCAAUAUUUAUAUCUGUUGCUCAAUUCCGUCCUGAGAAGGUGGGCAUACUUAUGUAAACCUUAUGAAUGCAAGGUACUGCUGUUUUAGUGGCUCAUUUCUGGGGCCCUUGUUGGGUAUAUCAGCCCUUUAUUGCUAGUUUUUCACAUGACAGGCACAUCCUCUCCAACUUGAGGCUUUUUCAGUUGCCAUUAGAAAGCUAGAUCCUAACUUGCCAAGACCUAAGCUGCAGUUUGUGGGUAGUUGUCGAAACCAGUGGGAUGAAGAAAGACUACAGAAGUUAAAGGACAAAGCAGUUGAACUGAAGGUGGAUGAGGAUGUGCAAUUCUAUAAAAAUGUGAUGUAUAGGGACUUGAUGAGUGUUUUGGG